RNAcentral lists this ribosomal RNA (422 nucleotides) under uncultured prokaryote. RNAcentral's name for it is "bacterial SSU rRNA". It matches the Rfam family "Bacterial small subunit ribosomal RNA", at positions 355 to 774 of the family's 1533-position model. The record is from RNAcentral.
UGAGGAAUAUUGGUCAAUGGGCGCAAGCCUGAACCAGCCAUCCCGCGUGAAGGAAGAAUGCGCUAUGCGUUGUAAACUUCUUUUCCAGGGGAAUAAAAUUUCGUACGUGUACGGGACUGAAGGUACCUUGGGAAUAAGCAUCGGCUAACUCCGUGCAAGCAGCCGCGGUAAUACGGAGGAUGCGAGCGUUAUCCGGAUUUAUUGGGUUUAAAGGGUGCGUAGGCGGAAAAAUAAGUCAGUGGUGAAAACCUUCAGCUUAACUGGAGACUUGCCAUUGAUACGGUGAGUCUUGAGUAUAGUUGAGGUAGGCGGAAGGUGUAAUGUAGCGGUGAAAUGCGUAGAUAUUACACAGAACACCAAUUGCGAAGGCAGCUUACUGAGCCAUAACUGACGCUGAUGCACGAAAGCGUGGGGAGCGAACA